UACGUAGGGUGCGAGCGUUGUCCGGAAUUAUUGGGCGUAAAGAGCUUGUAGGCGGUCUGUCGCGUCUGCUGUGAAAAUCCGGGGCUCAACCCCAAGCUUGCAGUCGAUACGGGCAGGCUAGAGUUCGGUAGGGGAGACUGGAAUUCCUGGUGUAGCGGUGAAAUGCGCAGAUAUCAGGAGGAACACCGAUGGCGAAGGCAGGUCUCUGGGCCGAUACUGACGCUGAGGAGCGAAAGCGUGGGGAGCGAACAGG
Molecule: ribosomal RNA, 253 nt
Filed under: uncultured bacterium
Lineage: Bacteria
Description: partial 16S ribosomal RNA
Rfam family: Bacterial small subunit ribosomal RNA
Source: RNAcentral